CUUAAAAUUUGAAUCAUCAGUGAACCAGAGGAGGAAAGAAUGAUGAAAUCCUCAAGAGUUUUAUUAGUGAUCCUGUGGCUUCAGUUGAUCUAAUUGGUCUUCCUGAAGCCUGAGAUUACCUGCAGUAUCAUAUUUGGCCUCUAGAGGGAGAUGCUACACAACUUGAACUCGAUAGAAAGCCAGAAAGCCACCAGCCCUUUGAGGAAGAGCUUUUACUUUGCAUGCCCUGUAAACCACUCACUGCUCUGUCAGGGUGUCCAUGUGGCUGAACUGUCUCCAGGAAAAACCUGCAGAAAGGAGCCUCCUGCUUCCUCAGAGCUCAGACAUGAAGCACACCCUCAUCUCAGUGCUUGUGGUGAUAUUCACACUUGGAGGAACAAGAGCCCAGACAGUGACUCAGCCUGAGAGCCACACCUAUGUGUCUGAAGGGGCCCCAGUGCAGGUGAAGUGCAACUAUUCCUAUUCUGGGAGUCCUGUGCUCUUCUGGUAUGUCCAGUACCCCAGACAGCGCCUCCAGUUACUCCUGAAACACACCUCAAGAGACAGCAUCCAGGGUUUCACCGCUGAGCUCAGCCAGACUGAGGCAUCCUUCCAUCUAAAAAAACCCUCGGCUCAGGAGGAAGACUCAGCUGUGUAUUACUGUGCUCUGGGUAACACAGUAGCUGGCUUCACAAGAGAAGCAGAGCACAAACCCCUUACAGAAAGCAUUUCCAUGUUCCCUACUUGACCACCGUGGGGCAUUGUCUCUCUAGAGACUGACUCUGAAUUUACCUCUCAGAUACAGAGUUGUCAUCAGUUGUCAACUAGCUGUAGAAUUGUUUUUAAAGGGAAUUCUCAUUACCUAAUCUGUAUAUGUUAAUUUUUAAAUAGUAAGUAUAUUUAUUUUAGAUAUUAGUACCUGGAAAAAUACUUCUGAAAUAAACCUAUGUAACA
This is a non-coding RNA of Bubalus bubalis (water buffalo), 933 nucleotides long. Lineage: Eukaryota; Metazoa; Chordata; Mammalia; Artiodactyla; Bovidae. The record is from the annotation of a RefSeq genome assembly.